RNAcentral lists this ribosomal RNA (540 nucleotides) under Salmonella enterica subsp. enterica serovar Enteritidis. RNAcentral describes it as "partial 23S ribosomal RNA". The stretch from base 1 to 375 matches the Rfam family "Bacterial large subunit ribosomal RNA", at positions 152 to 565 of the family's 2925-position model. Lineage: Bacteria; Pseudomonadati; Pseudomonadota; Gammaproteobacteria; Enterobacterales; Enterobacteriaceae. The record is from RNAcentral.
CAUUAACUGAAUCCAUAGGUUAAUGAGGCGAACCGGGGGAACUGAAACAUCUAAGUACCCCGAGGAAAAGAAAUCAACCGAGAUUCCCCCAGUAGCGGCGAGCGAACGGGGAGGAGCCCAGAGCCUGAAUCAGCAUGUGUGUUAGUGGAAGCGUCUGGAAAGGCGCGCGAUACAGGGUGACAGCCCCGUACACAAAAGCGCAUGUGCUGUGAGCUCGAUGAGUAGGGCGGGACACGUGGUAUCCUGUCUGAAUAUGGGGGGACCAUCCUCCAAGGCUAAAUACUCCUGACUGACCGAUAGUGAACCAGUACCGUGAGGGAAAGGCGAAAAGAACCCCGGCGAGGGGAGUGAAAAAGAACCUGAAACCGUGUACGUACAAGCAGUGGGAGCCCCACCACCAAAGCAUUUGCUGUACCGCGUUGACGGAGCGAAGCGACGUCAAACCGAUAAAACAGCAGUGUAAAGUGAGCCGCAGGGCGCUUUGCGCGACAGCGCAAAGGCAGGCGGUUUCGCGUAGCGAAAGCGAAUGCUUUGGGGUGG